GCACUUCGUGUAUCAAUUGCAUGUAAAUUGAGCAUCCAUUUCUCCUCGUAUCCAGGAGGUACUUCGACUGGAUUACCGAUUUCUAUUCCAUAAGGGUCUGGAACAUAGGUGAUUGUUUUUCGCGUCUCUGACCCAAGGCCAAAAUAUUGAGGAAGGCCUCUAUCACAUAUCCCUGAGUUUCUC
Molecule: long non-coding RNA, 183 nt
Organism: Solanum verrucosum
Lineage: Eukaryota; Viridiplantae; Streptophyta; Magnoliopsida; Solanales; Solanaceae
Exons: 2
Source: RefSeq, a predicted model, not a curated record